GUGCCAGCAGCCGCGGUAAUACAGAGAGAGCGAGCGUUAAUCGGAUUUACUGGGCGUAAAGCGCGCGUAGGUGGCUAAUUAAGUCAAAUGUGAAAUCCCCGAGCUUAACUUGGGAAUUGCAUUCGAUACUGGUUAGCUAGAGUAUGGGAGAGGAUGGUAGAAUUCCAGGUGUAGCGGUGAAAUGCGUAGAGAUCUGGAGGAAUACCGAUGGCGAAGGCAGCCAUCUGGCCUAAUACUGACACUGAGGUGCGAAAGCAUGGGGAGCAAACAGGAUUAGAUACCCUGGUAGUCCAUGCCGUAAACGAUGUCUACUAGCCGUUGGGGCCUUUGAGGCUUUAGUGGCGCAGCUAACGCGAUAAGUAGACCGCCUGGGGAGUACGGUCGCAAGACUAAAACUCAAAUGAAUUGACGGGGGCCCGCACAAGCGGUGGAGCAUGUGGUUUAAUUCGAUGCAACGCGAAGAACCUUACCUGGCCUUGACAUACAGAGAACUUUCCAGAGAUGGAUUGGUGCCUUCGGGAACUCUGAUACAGGUGCUGCAUGGCUGUCGUCAGCUCGUGUCGUGAGAUGUUGGGUUAAGUCCCGCAACGAGCGCAACCCUUUUCCUUACUUGCCAGCAUUUCGGAUGGGAACUUUAAGGAUACUGCCAGUGACAAACUGGAGGAAGGCGGGGAUGACGUCAAGUCAUCAUGGCCCUUAC
This 700-nucleotide ribosomal RNA is filed under the name uncultured bacterium. RNAcentral describes it as "bacterial SSU rRNA". It matches the Rfam family "Bacterial small subunit ribosomal RNA", at positions 505 to 1205 of the family's 1533-position model. The record is from RNAcentral.